RNAcentral lists this unclassified non-coding RNA (625 nucleotides) under Salicornia persica. RNAcentral's name for it is "partial contains external transcribed spacer and small subunit ribosomal RNA". The stretch from base 538 to 625 matches the Rfam family "Eukaryotic small subunit ribosomal RNA", at positions 1 to 87 of the family's 1831-position model. Lineage: Eukaryota; Viridiplantae; Streptophyta; Magnoliopsida; Caryophyllales; Amaranthaceae. The record is from RNAcentral.
GCCCAGCGGUGGUGAUUAGGGGUUGUUCUUACUCUCCCUUGCAAUUAUUUUGUACUUGUAGGGGUGCAUGUAGGCACGGUCCUUGUGAUGCGGUACGUGAUGGUGUGUGAGUGGUAUUUGGUUUGUGUGGUUGGCGGGCUCUUUGCUUGUGCAUUGGACCGUUCACCAACAUACCUUUUCAUUGUAUGCUGCAAGUGCACCAUUUUGCCUUGGGCGACGUGUGGUCCCUAUGUUGGAUUCCGAUUAACGGUAUUGUUGUUGUCCCUUUAAAGAGUGAUAUUCGCUCUACGUCCGUAAAAGGAGGUCGAGCGGACCAUGAAACUUGACUCGUUAUCCUCCUGUUUUGUGAAAACAAGCAUGAUAGGGUUGGAUUAUGAUCUCAAGUUGGGCCCUAGGAUACAGAAAGUUGUGUGGGAGUUGAUGUAAAAACGUCGCAAACCCAAAGCGUUGGUACGCUAAUGAUGGAUGACAUUCGAGUGUGUUGUGAUUCUUUCAUUCUAGAAAGGUUCAUGCUCGCCGAUGUCGACCAAGGAGUGCUACCUGGUUGAUCCUGCCAGUAGUCAUAUGCUUGUCUCAAAGAUUAAGCCAUGCAUGUGUAAGUAUGAACUAAUUCAGACUGUGAAAC